RNAcentral lists this ribosomal RNA (1374 nucleotides) under uncultured prokaryote. Its description in RNAcentral is "partial 16S ribosomal RNA". It matches the Rfam family "Bacterial small subunit ribosomal RNA", at positions 46 to 1392 of the family's 1533-position model. The record is from RNAcentral.
GGAUUAGGCAUGCAAGUCGAGCGAGAAAGGGGGCUUCGGCCUCCGAGUAAAGUGGCGAAAGGGUGAGUAAUACAUCGACCAUCUACCCCUGGGAUCGGGACAACGGCUGGAAACGGCCGCUAAUACCGGAUAGUCCAGCGAUGGUAAACGGCGGGGACCCUUCGGGGGGGGACCUUCGGGCCUGCCACCUGAGGAGGAGUCGAUGUCCUAUCAGCUUGUUGGUGGGGUAAUGGCUCACCAAGGCGAAGACGGGUAGCCGGACUGAGAGGUUGGCCGGCCACACUGGGACUGAGACACUGCCCAGACUCCUACGGGAGGCUGCAGUCGAGAAUCUUCCGCAAUGGGCGAAAGCCUGACGGAGCGACGCCGCGUGCAGGAUGAAGGCCCUCGGGUUGUAAACUGCUGUCACAGGUUAGGAAAACCGGGGAGACAACAUCAAUCCGGAUGACGUUACCUGCAGAGGAAGCCCUGGCUAACUCCGUGCCAGCAGCCGCGGUAAUACGGAGAGGGCAAGCGUUGUUCGGAAUCACUGGGCAUAAAGCGCACGUAGGCGGAUGUGCACGUCGGUGGUGAAAUCCCCGGGCUCAACCCGGGAACUGCCUUCGAUACGGCGCGGCUAGAGUGUGGGAAGGAGAGUUGGAACUCCUGGUGGAGCCGGUGAAAUGCGUAGAUAUCAGGAGGAACGCCGGAGGCGAAAGCGGUUCUCUGGCCCACAACUGACGCUGAGGUGCGAAAGCUAGGGGAGCAAACAGGAUUAGAUACCCUGGUAGUCCUAGCCGUAAACGAUGGGCACUACGUAGGGGGGCUCCCAAGGCCUCCCUGCCGGAGCUAAUGUAUUAAGUGCCCCGCCUGGGGAGUAUGGUCGCAAGGCUAAAACUCAAAGGAAUUGACGGGGGCUCACACAAGCGGUGGAGGAUGUUGCUUAAUUCGAAGCAACGCGUAGAACCUUACCAGGACUUGACAUGCUGGUGGUACGAACCCGAAAAGGUAAGGACCUGCUUCGGUAGGAGCCAGCACAGGUGUUGCAUGGCUGUCGUCAGCUCGUGCCGUGAGGUGUUGGGUUAAGUCCCGUAACGAGCGAAACCCUUGCUACUAGUUGCCAGCGGGUAAUGCCGGGGACUCUAGUGGGACUGCCGGUGUCAAGCCGGAGGAAGGUGGGGACGACGUCAAGUCAUCAUGGCCCUUAUGUCCUGGGCUGCAAACGUCCUACAAUGGCCGGUACAAAGGGUUGCCAACCCGCGAGGGGGAGCUAAUCUCAAAAAGCCGGCCUCAGUUCGGAUAGUAGGCUGAAAUUCGCCUGCUUGAAGCUGGAAUCGCUAGUAAUCGUGGAUCAGCUACGCCACGGUGAAUAUGUUCCUGAGCCUUGUACACCCG